Long non-coding RNA from Camelus dromedarius (Arabian camel), 8036 nucleotides. RefSeq lists it as uncharacterized. The transcript is spliced from 3 exons. The record is from RefSeq and is a predicted model, not a curated record. Lineage: Eukaryota; Metazoa; Chordata; Mammalia; Artiodactyla; Camelidae.
UUAAAAAAAAAAUCACUGUCCUAAGUGGCUUCUAAAAAAAUUGUAUGGGUGAGUUUUAAUUGGUCCUUAAACUUCCCCAGAGGAGGGGAGAAACCAAACAAAAUCUCGUCUUUUUGAACAGUUUUCCUGGGAGGUAACAGCCGUAAGAACAUCGUGAGCACAGCUAUGAAGGCCCAUGACACGAAGGGAAUCUGAUCAGUUAGGAGGCUGUAGAAGCAGGGGGAGAUACACUGGCUGCCCCCACGUGAUGUGGGAAAACAUUCACCUGCUGGUGAGUUUGGUUAGCGUUGGGGAACACAGCCCCCAGGUGCCAGCUUCCCGUCCGGGGGAGGAGGCAGCCCGCACUGCAGGUGUAGGUCUGAGCAUGAAGUCACUCUCACCCCAAACCAGGUGACGUCUGGUUCUCUGUCCUUAGCAGGAAUCUUGUUCCCUUUCUGACUCAUCUUUUCUUUAUAAGCCCCUUGUAGGGGUGAAAUCUGCCACCUUAUUUGGGCCCAGACGUAACUGCUGUUGGCUUGCGCCUGGCAUUCCUGCUGUUCUAGGUCAAGCUUUCCAGAGACUGGAAGCCUCACACGUGGUGCCCAGCAGGCGGGUCGCCUUCGGGACGCUGCACAAUACUUCCAAGACCGCAUUUACUGCUGGAAGUAGGAGAACUGAGAAGAAACAGCUGGAAUCCACAGAAGAGACAGACAUAUCACCCAAAUCUUCACCACUAGGAGAGCCUGGCAGCUUAGAGGAACACGAUGAAAGGUAUUGACAUCCUCGCUCAGGCAUCAGCCCGACCAAGCAAGGCUGCGAGGACCAAGCGCUGGGUGAUGUGCUUUGAGUUUGCAGAGCUCGCUUGCUACCCUGGGACCAUCUGCCCGUGGGAGGAGAUGACAAAGAGCAGACCCUGGUCCUGAGCACCCACACCAGCAGGUGCGGCUACCUUUGAGCCGGCUGGUUUUACCAAGAAUUCCUGGUGCCGAGGAAGGAAGCUCAGCACACAGACUCCAGGGCCCGUUCCUGGCUAACAGCUCUCAGGUGUUUGGCGCCGUGCUCCUUCCUGGGCACGGAGCCUGAGUCUCCGGAGCGGGAGCCACCCCUCCCGGAUGCAGCGCAGAGAGGAAGCCGCCUCUGAGAUUGUGGGUGAGGCUGAAGGGAGGCUCUCCUUCCUAAGGCAUCUCUCAGAAUUAAGAAAAAAAAAAAGGUUUUCCCCACAGUUUCACUAUAAAAACGUUGAAGGAUGAGUAGAUGUGAUUCUAGUUUCCUAGUAAAAGCUAGGUUAUUUGAGGAUAGGAAAACAGAUGUUCAUCUCUGCAAACAAAACCUGACUGCUCAUCCGACUUUAACCAGCCUUGUCCACACCUGUGAGCAGGCGAGGGGGGCGGGAGUGCCUGCAGCAGCAGCCCUGCGGGGGUCCUCCUGGUGCGGCCAGACCAAGGCUGCAUUUUUAGGAUGCCUGUCCUUGAAGAAAUCACACUGAUGACCAGAUGGAAUCCUCUUGGUCUCUGGGCUUAAGUUAAUCAGGAUGACUCAGUACUGGUGAUUUAAAAGUACUGGGCCCACAGGGUUUUCUUUUGUCACCAAGCUGCUCUUUGCAGUUAUUAUAGCAACAACACUUGUCUGCACACCAGGGUUUCCCAAUGGGCAGAGAGGAGGCAUGGGCUGGAGUCUGCUCUACAGGGACCCCAUGAGAUGACUCCCCAGAGGACACACAACACCAGCGGGAAUUCCAGACGCACUCAUCUUUAACUUGAUGGUGAGCCUGCAGGUCUUCUGAAUUUCCAUUUUCAGCCAAGCAGGGAUGAUGGCAGUGGAGGGUGGGGGCCGUCUCCUGUCAGUGGCCUUGCCCUCGCGGCUGUGGAGAGGCCCUGACUCAAGGUCCUGAUCGUAAUGGACUGCACUCUUCUGGGGACCAGCCAGGCCACUCUCCUGGUGCAGUGCUCAGGGAUCUCCAUCUUCCAGUCAGACUCACAGAAAGUGACAGCUCUGACUGCACUGGGCUAUCGCCACAGUCACCCGCAAGGUGAGCUCCGCACAUGCUCGUCAGUCGUUAGCCGGUGUCUGAUGUGUCCUAAUUUCCAAAGCCUGGAGGAAGGGCAGUGGCUGCGAGGGGUGCCACGUCCCCUGCUUUAUAACUCAUGCAGGAAGUGGAACAGACCCUGGGGCGGAGGGUGGGGGGUCAGAACCAGGGCACAUAGAGCCCUCUCUCAGGGAGAGGCUGACCCACUUGGGCUGCCCGGACACCCUCUGCCAGCACUGCCUUGGAGCUCCCCCUGGCUCCAACCUGCUGACAUUAAUUUAACUUCUCUAAUCCUCUUCUUGCCUGCCCUUUUGCUAAAUCAUUCUCUUAGCUUGAGCAAAGUGAGGUCUGUUCUGAAAAAUGAACCCUGUAUCAAGGUGAGAAGGGUUUUAUCUGUGCUCCUGUGUACAGUGAAGCACCUGCCAACCCCUAACCUUUACCCUUUCCUUAUUUUGCUUUUUCCUAUUAGCCUUUCUCCCCAUCUGAGCUGUUGUGUUUUAGUAUUUUAUUACUCAUCCUCUCCAUUACUGAAUGUCAGCUCCACAAAGGCAAGGGUUUUGUCUACUUUUGUUCACGGAAUAUUUACUUUGUUAAUGAACUUAAGUGUGACUCAGAGAAGGAAAGGAACUGGCCCUGGGGUCUAGGGAGGCAGGGGUGACUGCAGGAGUCACAGCAGCUAUCUGGGCCGCUGUGAAGACUCGGGGCCCUUCCCCCCUGCUAAGUUCUCAGCUCGGCCUUGAUGUCUGUCUAGCCCUUGUGCUCACAGCCAAAGCCAGACGGGGCCACUCCUCCCCAAAACUAAACAAAAAGGAACAAACAGCUUCAAAUUCCAGCCUUGUUAUCUCUUGCUAUGUCCUCCUUUAAUUUGGUGAGGCUGUAACUGCAUGUGCUUAUAAUAUCUAUGCUGUGGUCUUGGCCCAUGGCCAGGGAAAUUUCACGAGUUCUCCCAUAUCCCCUCCACCUCUUUCUUCCCUGUUCUGAUUUAUUUAACUACAUUUGGACACCCGACAAGGAAAACCAUGUAAUCCUUAUUCUUUGUAAGGAGUGUAAGGACUAACGACUUGCUGUGCUUUCCUCUUCUCAACACAUCUGGGAAACUGAUCCUUCCCCAUCAUUAUCGUGUAUCCAGGGCCCUCUGCCACUCGGCUGGACCAUUAGCAGAACUCUGGUGAUGUGCACACACUUACAACCAGACUACACACCAUCUGUCGAGCAGCAUGUUGAGCAAAUCAGAACAUCAAUAUCACCCACCCCACCAGCGACCACUCUUGAGGGUCUCACUGAGGCCACACGCGUGCCUACACCCCCUCUGGAGCAUCAGGGGCUACAGUUCUAAAACCGUCCAUGACUCCUGCCCUUUGGAACUUCAGCUCCUCAGGGCCCAGGCCGAGUGCUGCGCGUUUCCUAUCUCGCACACGGUGGACACAGGGCACACGUCUGUGUGAAGAGUUAAGAGCUUGUUCACUUUCCUAGUCUAGUCGCUGGUUUCCCCUUAGAGUUACUUCUAAGUCCUUGAAGGGACCUCUGGGAGAACAGGCCUCCCUCAUGCCCCACACAUCAGAAACGACAGGAGCGCAUCUUUCCAUGGGGGAAGAAACCCCCUCCCAAGGCCUGCAGGAAGGCCACGUGGAUCUGCCCUUCAUUUGCUCUUUUCAAGAGGCUCAUUUGGGCUCUCAAAUGUGUCUUAUUUCAUCAGCACCCCUGUUUUCAAUUCUAACUUCCCUUUCCCUAAGAUUACAGAGCCUGGAUUAUGAGCUAUCUUGGAAAGGACUCAAGAGACUAGAAGGAGCCUGAGUAAUGAUCCGUACUGAGCUGGUCUAACAUCAGGCAGGAUGGAGAUGGGAGUUCCAGCCCCAAGUGCAGUGUGACGAGUUCAGUGACCUGUCCUCCUUCCUGACCACUCCACUCCCUUCAGACCCCAAGGGAGGAGUCUGGCCUAUGUCCCCAGCUUAUCUCGGAACAAAGGCUACACCCACAGGAGACAAGCCUGACUCAGGGGGCGUGGGGUCAACUGCCAGCCUUCUCUGGUAGCCACACCACCUGUAGAUCCCUGGGGAAUAAUGAAUGGAUCUCCAUCUAUUCAACUGCUAAAUGAUCAUGUCUUCUCUUUGUUCUAUAUGAAUGCUUAAAACAAAAUCCUUCCUUAGGCCCCAUGCCACCGCCAUUUUUUGCCAACUGGAACCACCAAAAUCGUACUCAGCUUUCCUGUAGCACUGGACACCGCAGCCAGCACUGCCCUUCCGAGGCUCCAUGCCUCACCUGGCUCCUGGUCACUCUUCAUUUUUGAUAAGCUAACUCCUUACAUCUAGUGAGCCUUUGGGUUCUGUCCCACUGACCUGUCUUCUAGUUUAAAUUCCUCAACUGUCAGCUUGUGCUUAAUGCCAGAUCUACAUUCCAACCCACGAACUCUCGUGAGCGUCACAAUUUCCAGUUUUCUCAUCCUAGACACCUCCAGGUGAACACCUACCAGCCUCUGAAAACAGAAGCACUGCUGUGAGGGAGAGAGGCGCACAGCAGUGGACCAGUCACCCUGGCAACAGAUGAGAUUCCCACACAAUGAAUUGAGUAAGGUUUUUCUGAGCAAAGAAACAAUGGCUGGGGAUACAUAACUUGAGUUUAAAAUUAAUGAUAGGCGUUUGGAUAUGGAAUAUGGACUUAAGAUUUGUUGAGUCCAGAAUUUCCUAAGAUUUCACAAAAUAGUAAAAUAUUUUAAAGAACACUUUAGGUAUGUACCAUGGAGUGCUGAAUUUAUUUCUAAGAAAAGAUAUUUAAAAUAUGACUGUUCUUCACUAACACUGCCAUUUCAUUUAGGAAGAGUAGUUUAACACACACAGAAGAGCAUAAGGGACACAUUCAAGGAAAGAAUCCAGAUUUCCCCGUCAUCACAGAUGAGUGCAAAGUGUUAACAGGUGCCACUGGCCCCAGGACGAGGUGUAAGGGUGCCACUGGUACAGGUUCUGGAUAAGAGGGUUAGGGUUGCAACAUUAGUCUCCCAAGAUUCUAGGAAUAAAGGGUUCACUGGUCCCAACUAGGUUUGAGAAAUACUGCAUCCUGGAGUUUCCUAAUCUUAAACUGUCACGUUGCGCAUACUGUUACGAGGGUUCUGAGAAUUGUUUGGUAAAGAAAUCUGUUUAACUCUCAAGUCUCUGGCCACGAUUACAUCUGAGGACAAGCACACACUCAGAAAUAUGUCAGGUUGGGGAAGAACAGGUACAUCCCUAACUUACUCAAGUUGAUGUCUUAAAGCACAAAAAUACUAUCCCUCAACUUAUUUCCACAGCCCGGGGUGAAUCCCAACUAGUUGGUCUGUGAGUCUCCUGACUGGGCACGGUGCUGCCCGUCACUAAUCCUGUUGGGUAAGGCCCUUCCUUCACGAAGACGCCUUCCUUCUGACCUAGGACCGGACUCUCUGGAAGAGACUGACCUUUUACAGUACUGAGAACUUUGGCAAAUGAAAUCUGCACUCAGCAGCUCCCCUGGAAAUUGAGAUGAAGGUGACAUGAGCCACCAACUGAGACUUUAGGUCAACAGGGCAAACUGCAUGUGGAAAGUAAACCCUGGAACACUUGUAAAUCCCAUUUGGGGCUCUCCUCCCUCCUCGGUAAGAGGGCACUGACCUGCACGAGGCAUCUACUCCUCCAGUAUGGCCCUGUGAGUGGUCAGAGACAGCUCUCCAUUAACGGUGGGACUAAGUCAACCCAGGCCACUUUCUCCCCUCGUGCUCUUUCCUUCUCCAGAGUCUCAAAGGCCUCAGGUGACCAAACACAGGACUUAGUACUAAUGGAAGAAGAAACAGAACAUCUGAAGUAUUUUCAUCUUAGAACAGAAGCUCUCCAAGAGAAGGCGUGUCAGCAUUAGGUAGAGAUGUGUAACAACUCCCCAUGGCCUCAGCAUUUAUAACUGGAUGAAUCUGGUCCCAACCUAAGUCUCAUUUUUCUUCCUAUUUUGUGAAGGAAUGAUGUAAACCAAGGGCUGAGUGUAAAACGGUAACAUUUAAAACACUUGACUUUAGGGCAGACUUAAUUCACCAAAUUAGAGCUCAGAAUAACAGUGCUAAAGAAACAAUCCCUUUUAAAACUGCACCCAAAACAAUAAAAUACUUAGGAAUAAAUCUCACCAAGGAGGUGAAAGACAUAAACAUGGAGAACUACAAAACAUUAAGGAAAUUAAAGAUGACUUAAAGGAAUGGAAAGAUAUCCCAUGCUUUUGAAUUAGAGGAAUCAAUAUUGUUAAAAUACCCAUAAUGCUGAAGGCAAUCUACAGAUUUAAUGUGAUCCCUAUCAAAUUACCCACCAUAUUUUUCACUGAACUAGAACAGACAAUCCCAAAAUUUAUAUGGAAUCACAGAAGACCCAGAAUUGCAAUAAUGAAGAAAUAGAAUGAAGCUGGAGAAAUAACCCUCCCAGACUUUAGACAAUACCCCAGAGCUCUAGUAAUCAAAACAGCAUGGUAUUGGCAUAAAAAUAGAUGUAUGGAUCAGUGGAACAGAACAGAGAGCCCAGAAAUAAACCCACACACCUAUGGUCAAUUAAUCUUCGACAAAGGAGGCAAGAACAUACAAUGGAGAAAAGACAGUCUCUUCAGCAAGUGGUGCUGGGAAAACUGGAUAGAAGCAUGUAAAUCAAUGAAGUUAGAACACUCUUUCACUCGUACACAAAAAUAAACUCAAAAUGGCUUAAAGACACGAUAAAUUUCCUAGAAAACAGACAAAACAUUUUCUGACAAAUCUUAACAAUGUCUCCUAGGGCAGUCUACUCAGGUAACAGAAAUAAAAGCAAAAAUUAACAAAUGGGACCGAAUGAAACUUAGUAAGCUUUUGCACAGCAAAAGAAACCAUAAACAAAACAGUGACAACCUACGGAAUGGGAAAAAAUAUUUGCAAAUGAUGCAGCUGACAAAGGCUUAAUUUCCAGAAUAUAUAAGCAGCUCAUACAACUUACUAACAAAAGAAACCCCAAUCCAAAAAUGGGCAGAAGACCUAAACAAGCAAUUCUCCAGUGAAGACGUAUGAAUGGCCAAUAUGCACAAAUGCAAAUCAAAACUAUAAUGAGGUAUCACCUCACACCAGUCAGAAUGGCCAUCAUUAAAAAGUCCACCAAAGAUAAAUGCUGGAGAGGCUGUGGAGAAAAGGAAACCCUCCUACAUUGCCGGUGGGAAUAUGGUUUGGUGCAGCCAUUAUAGAAACAGUAUGGAGAUUCCUCAAAAAACUAAAAAUAAAGACUUACCACAUGAUCCAGCAAUCCCACUCCCGGGCAUAUAUCCAGAGGGAACCUUAAUUCAAGGAGAUACAUGCACCCAAUGUUCAGAGCAGCACUAUUUACAAUAGGCAAGACAUGGGAGCAACCUAAAUGUCCACUGACAGAUGACUGGAUAAAGAAGUUGUGGUAUGUUUAUACAAUGGAUUACUACUCAGCCAUAAAAAAAAGAAUAAAAUAAUGCUAUUUGCAGCAACAUGGAAGGACCUGGAAAUUGUCAUUCUAAGUGAAGUAAGCCAGAAAGAGAAAGAAAAAUGCCAUAUGAUAUCACUCAUGUGGAAUCAAAAAGGAAGAAAAGGACACUAUGAACUCUUCUACAAAACAGAAACAGACUUGCAGACAUAGUAAAUAAUCUUACAGUUAUUAGACAAAGUGGAUGGGAAGGGAUAAAUUCGGGAGUUUGAGAUUUACAAAUGUUAGCCACUAUAUAUAAAAACAGGUUAAAAAGUUUCUGCUGUAUAGCACAGGGAACCACGUUCAACAUCUCAUAAUAACCUUUAAUGAAAAAAGUGAAAACGAAUAUAUGUACGUAUAUGCAUGACUGAGACAUUAUGCUGUACACCAGGAAUUGACACAUUGUAACGGGCGGUACUUCAAUAGUAAAAACAAACAAAAAAACCCCAGUGUUUUGUACUUAACUGAAACUCGGGCAAGACACUGAAUUAAAGAAUGCGUUUGGGAUUUUACAGAAAUUCUACAUUCCUAGGGAAAAAAAAUCAUAAGGUAGUUCUCUGAAGCAAGGUUAGGCCUAUGAUAAAAUGGCACAAAGAUGCCAA